AGAGUGAGAGUGCUUUGAAUAUUGUGGACUCUCCAUGAUCCCUGUUGGAGGUUUGUCUUCCUACACCGCGGGCUUUUUUGAAGAUACCAGCCGCGGUGUAAUAGUUCAUCUUGUGCAGACGGAGUAUCAUCAGUUUCUGCGGGGAGUAUGCUUUCAGAUGCUUUUUUUAAGAUUUGUCUUUCAUUUUUUGUUACAUUGUGGGCAUAUGGACCCUUAGACACUUUGUUUUAUACAUUGUGUCUGGGGCGGUCUAUUUUGCCUACUUUUGUAUCCAUAUUUGUACGGCUGUAUUUACCACUCUUAGGAUCACUUUCUGUCAAUCAG
Non-coding RNA from Pelobates cultripes (western spadefoot toad), 324 nucleotides. The record is from the annotation of a GenBank genome assembly. Lineage: Eukaryota; Metazoa; Chordata; Amphibia; Anura; Pelobatidae.